CCUACGGGAGGCUGCAGUGGGGAAUAUUGCACAAUGGGGGGAACCCUGAUGCAGCGACGCCGCGUGAGUGAAGAAGUAUUUCGGUAUGUAAAGCUCUAUCAGCAGGGAAGAAAAUGACGGUACCUGACUACGACGCCCCGGCUAACUACGAGCCAGCAGCCGCGGUAAUACGGAGGGGGCAAGCGUUCUCCGGAUUUACUGGGUGUAAAGGGAGCGCAGACGGCUGUGCAAGUCUGGAGGGAAGGGCGGGGGCCCAACCCCCGGACUGCUCUUGAAACUGUAAAGCUGGAGUGCAGGAGAGGUAAGCGGAAUUCCUAGUGUAGCGGUGAAAUGCGUAGAUAUUAGGAGGAACACCAGUGGCGAAGGCGGCUUACUGGACUGCAACUGACGUUGAGGCUCGAAAGCGUGGGGAGCAAACAGGAUUAGAUACCCGAGUAGUC
Molecule: ribosomal RNA, 440 nt
Filed under: uncultured bacterium
Lineage: Bacteria
Description: partial 16S ribosomal RNA
Rfam family: Bacterial small subunit ribosomal RNA
Source: RNAcentral